This 343-nucleotide long non-coding RNA is filed under the name Solanum tuberosum (potato). RNAcentral's name for it is "long non-coding RNA (STUB_LNC003791)". Lineage: Eukaryota; Viridiplantae; Streptophyta; Magnoliopsida; Solanales; Solanaceae. The record is from RNAcentral.
GUAUCAUUUAAAUUUUUUGGUUGAUGAUAUUGAGGCGAUCAGCAUAGGUAGGUUUAAUUCACUAUUAAGAUAGUUUUGACAAUGGGUGUUGGAAUUUAUCUGCGGUUGAAGGAUUUAGCUUCCUUUACAUAGACGAGAGGGAGUUGCUCGGAUGGUAAGCACCCCUCACUUCCAACCCAAAGGUUGCGAGUUCGAGUCACCAAAGAAGCAAAAAGGGUGGGAGGAGGGAUAAAAUAAAAAAAAACCUUCCUUUACAUAAGGUUAUAAGAGAUGAUUAAUGUGUUCUUUACACUUCAUAGAGAUUUUACAUUAUUUGCUAUUUAAAGAAAUGAAAUUUGCAUUU